AAGACUUGCUUGGGAUAUGAACUAGAUGAUUUCAUGUCUACUUUUAAUUAAUAACCAAGGCACCACAGCCUAUUGCAUCUGAGUAGGGAGCAGCACAUUUAGUUUUUCCAUUUGGCGGUGUUACAUUAAGUCUUCUUUAAGGGCUUUCCCCCCGCUUUCUGUCGUUUUUUUUCACUUCUUUUUUUUCCCCUUAGUAUCUGCUGGCUAAAGGAGGGAGGGCCAUUUUUACCUAAAAUCCACUUUGCUUUUGGCUCCCUGGACAGAAUGUCCUUGGAGUGGCACCAAGCUCUGGCUAAAGCUCUCUUCCUGCAGAUGCAUAGGGAGUCCCUGACCCCGUGACGUUUGGGAACAAGUGGAACUCGUGCAGAGGCAUCCAGGUAUUUCCAGAGACUGACGAGCGAGGUCUGCAAUCGCUUCCUAACAGCAGACUAGCUCUAAAAGAUACAACUGGACAAAUGGAAUACGUUUGUCCUUUCCUAUACGGCAGAACUAUCAAUCACAAUGAAGCAAGUAUAAUCCCCUGGCCUUCUCUUCUCUACCAGUCUGCUUGAAGUAAGUGUUUGUCCCAGGUGAAACACAGUUUGUUUGGAACCAAAACAGAACAAAAACAAAAUAAAAAAAGUAGGAUUGGCA
RNAcentral lists this long non-coding RNA (633 nucleotides) under Felis catus (domestic cat). Its description in RNAcentral is "lncRNA (ENSFCAG00000048726.1)". Lineage: Eukaryota; Metazoa; Chordata; Mammalia; Carnivora; Felidae. The record is from RNAcentral.